GAUGAACGCUGACAGAAUGCUUAACACAUGCAAGUCAACUGGAAUGUGGGUUUUUAACUUAGGUUUGGGUGGCGGACGGGUGAGUAACGCGUAAAGAACUUGCCUCACAGCUAGGGACAACAUUUGGAAACGAAUGCUAAUACCUAAUAUUAUGAUAAUAGGGCAUCCUAUAAUUAUGAAAGCUAUAAGCGCUGUGAGAGAGCUUUGCGUCUCAUUAGCUAGUUGGAGAGGUAACGGCUCACCAAGGCGAUGAUGGGUAGCCGGCCUGAGAGGGUGACCGGCCCCAAGGGGACGGAGUCACGGCCCUUACUCCUCCGGGAGGCAGCGGUGGGGAAUAUUGGACAAUGGACCAAGCGUCUGAUCCAGACAUUCUGUGUGCGAGAUGAAGUUUUUCGGAAUGUAAAGUGCUUUCAGUUGGGAAGAAAGAAAUGACGGUACCAACAGAAGAAGUAACGGCUAACUACGUG
RNAcentral lists this ribosomal RNA (467 nucleotides) under uncultured bacterium. RNAcentral's name for it is "partial 16S ribosomal RNA". It matches the Rfam family "Bacterial small subunit ribosomal RNA", at positions 28 to 507 of the family's 1533-position model. The record is from RNAcentral.